GUAGGGUGCGAGCGUUGUCCGGAAUUAUUGGGCGUAAAGAGCUCGUAGGCGGUUUGUUGCGUCGGUCGUGAAAACCUGGGGCUUAACCCUGGGCCUGCGAUCGAUACGGGCAGACUUGAGUUCGGUAGGGGAGACUGGAAUUCCUGGUGUAGCGGUGAAAUGCGCAGAUAUCAGGAGGAACACCGGUGGCGAAGGCGGGUCUCUGGGCCGAUACUGACGCUGAGGAGCGAAAGCGUGGGGAGCGAACAGGAUUAGAUACCCUGGUAGUCCACGCCGUAAACGGUGGGUGCUAGGUGUGGGGAACAUCCACGUUCUCCGUGCCGUAGCUAACGCAUUAAGCACCCCGCCCGGGGAGUACGGCCGCAAGGCUA
RNAcentral lists this ribosomal RNA (371 nucleotides) under uncultured bacterium. RNAcentral's name for it is "bacterial SSU rRNA". It matches the Rfam family "Bacterial small subunit ribosomal RNA", at positions 527 to 896 of the family's 1533-position model. The record is from RNAcentral.